UGCGUGUGGACCCGAGCCAGUUCAAGGAGAACUAAUUCAAUGUACGUAUUCGUCCAGUCUGGGACUAGAACCUAAAUAUGCUAUGACAGCGUCUCUGCUUAAGUGAUAAUGCCAGAGAAUCCAGUGUUUGGAGGAUAUAUUGGCACGUGUGUUGUUAGUAUUGACAAACCGUGCCAAUAAUGUAUAUCCUCCAAACACCAGCUUUUAUACAAGGGUUACCAACAUGUUAAAAUAAUGAUUGACAUAUUUUCAUAAAAAACGUUAUUUUGCUGAAUUUAUUCAUACUAUUUCCUCCUUCCACAAUAUUCCAGACACAAAUCUCGUGUUGCUACCCAUGCCGGCUGGUCAUUCAUUCUAUCAAUUCUGUAUCUAUGAACGCGACCCAGUCGUUCGUUCUAAAUGUUCCAUUGUCAUAUUGGCUGGCAACGGUCGUAUCCCUUGCUUGCUAGCUAGCCAAUUAUGGCUAACUUACAGUCACGUCAAAAAGUGCAGCCAGAAUAACAGCAAAGUAGCUGCACUUGCAUUGGUUUAAGCUAUUUUCUAGUGACAUUUAUUUGGAUACACACAUAACAAUGAGAAAAUGAAGCGAAAUUUCGCCUGGCAUAGAACAUUUGCUCACUCGUCAGGAUACUGUUGUUCAGAGGAGCUAGACAACAACACAGCUAACACAAUCACGUCAUAGUGAAGCUGGAAGACAGCAAACUAGCUACACUUCUUUUUGUUUUACCUUUUUUCGAUUUAAAUUUCUUUAUAUAUAUUCAUAAAAAUGAUGCCAGCUGAUUCAUGAUUUCAACUGGCUGAGAAACGCUGCCAACCCGGAUGUAAUAUAAUUCUGGUUUUGUGGCGCUAGUCUGAAUUCCCCAUGGGAAAACUAUAAACAGGAAGACGUGCAUAUUUCUUCGCCAGCACCAGUCACUGAGCUUGCAAGCUGAAGUUAGCUAGUGAGUCACAGAAAAGCCCUUCAUUCCCAAACCUGAAGCCCCCUGUCCACAGCAGGAAAGACCAGGAAAAAGUGUUUGCUUAAGAUCUGCCAACCAGGCACGGUGGGUGACAGGUAACUGUGUUUCCACCAAGCUGUUCCAUUCCUGGAGUGGCAUGCUGGAACUUCCAGAGGCUUGUAGACCUGAAGCAGUGUGAUGUGGUCCAAAUCUAUUAGCACAACCACAGUCCUCACAGCUGCAGUCGUCUGCCCCUUCACCUGCUACAUUGGCCAUGACAGGUGAUACAGAUCUGCCACCCCCAGCAGUUCAGCUGCAGUCACAGUAGUCCUCUGCUGUGGUAUUUCAUUUACCGGCUGCACCAGUUCUUACUACACUGGCUGCGAAGGGAGAAACUUUUGAGGAUUCCCAGAUGGAUAUAGAUCUGCCAUGCACUCCACCAAUGCCCCUGACAGCCUCACCCAGAAGUGCAUACACCGGGUCUAUCACGAUUGACAAAGCAGAGAUAGGUGGCUGACAAGGAAAUAUAAAACAACAUCCACACACUCUCUGUCACACACACAUUAUCCCCAAAGUAAAUACAUUGUAAUUACUUCAUUAUUUUAUUUUAGGAUUGGAGAUAUCUACACCUACAUAUUCAUUAUCAAUAUCUACAUAAUUACUCUAAGUAUCAUUCCAAUCAGUGUGAUUGAUAAUAUUGUAAGAGUAUUGCUUAAUUUGUAGUUUGAGAAAAUUCGGUGAGCUUUUUUUCUGAGUUGAAAAACAUUCCUCUCUCUCUCUCGCUCUCACACACACACUACACCCAAUGUAAAUACAUUUUAUGUAUGCUCCAUUUAUUUGAGGAUUGUGUGUAAUAAAGUACAUUCACAGUUAAAGCAACAGUUAGUUUUAUUAGAUAUUUGAAUGACAGAAAGGAAGUCGGCACACUCUGGGAGUGUGUGCAGAUUUUGUCAUCUCGAGCUGAAACAGGGCCCCAACAGCCCUCAGAUAUGUACAGUGUUCCCAGGAGUGGCAAAUAUGUUUAUUGUCCUGCAAAAGUAUUUUGAAUGUAUCAAGGGCAUUCCCUGGCUACCCAUCCACAUUGUUCAGGUUAAACUGACGUUUGUUCUCCACAGUGAGAUGACCUGGAGAAAGUUCCAGACGUCAGCUUUUUAUGUAGCAGAAAAGCACAGAUGUGUUUCUCCCAUUCUUCUCUUCAGAUCUGUCAGGUUGAAUGGGGAGUGUCGCUGCACACCUAUUUUCAGGUCUCUCCAGAGAUGUUCUAUCGGGUUCAAGUCCAGGCUCUUGCUGGGCCAAUCAAGGACAUGCAGAGACUUGUC
Molecule: non-coding RNA, 2257 nt
Organism: Salmo salar (Atlantic salmon)
Lineage: Eukaryota; Metazoa; Chordata; Actinopteri; Salmoniformes; Salmonidae
Source: RefSeq, a predicted model, not a curated record